RNAcentral lists this long non-coding RNA (410 nucleotides) under Triticum aestivum (bread wheat). Its description in RNAcentral is "long non-coding RNA (TAES_LNC006220)". Lineage: Eukaryota; Viridiplantae; Streptophyta; Magnoliopsida; Poales; Poaceae. The record is from RNAcentral.
GAUGAUCGAUCGAUGCAUCAAGCUGGUUGGGAUCGGUACGUGUGUGGUACCUUUGUAAGUUACUACGCAUUUUGUAUUUUAUUUAUACUGGUUAAUUGGUGGUCUUUGCAUUUUUCUCGACGCAGGAGCAUUAUUAUACUAAACGGCCUGCUAACAAUAUGACAGAGAAAUUGUAUACAAGCUAUAUGACAAGUUGUUGCUAGUAUCAGAGCCAAGAGAUUUUGAAUUCAAGACUUGUCUGUCGUUUCCUCUUGCUUGGAAAGCUUGCCGGCACAAGAAAAACAUGGUGGCGUUGGAGCAAUCCUAUAGCUAGAGACAUUUUUUCACAGAGCCAGACCUACAAGCGGAGGUGGCAUCACUUAAUUUAGAAGAAGGAGGCCCCACCCUGGAAAUCUGGGAGGGAGGGAUGA